GACAGAGGAUGCAAGCGUUAUCCGGAAUGAUUGGGCGUAAAGCGUCUGUAGGUGGCUUUUUAAGUCUGCCGUCAAAUCCCAGGGCUUAACCCUGGACAGGCGGUGGAAACUACCAAGCUGGAGUACGGUAGGGGCAGAGGGAAUUUCCGGUGGAGCGGUGAAAUGCGUAGAUAUCGGGAAGAACACCAAUGGCGAAAGCACUCUGCUGGGCCGUAACUGACACUGAGAGACGAAAGCUAGGGGAGCAAACAGG
RNAcentral lists this ribosomal RNA (253 nucleotides) under uncultured bacterium. RNAcentral's name for it is "partial 16S ribosomal RNA". It matches the Rfam family "Bacterial small subunit ribosomal RNA", at positions 524 to 776 of the family's 1533-position model. The record is from RNAcentral.